Small nuclear RNA from Eptesicus fuscus (big brown bat), 106 nucleotides. The record is from RefSeq and is a predicted model, not a curated record. Lineage: Eukaryota; Metazoa; Chordata; Mammalia; Chiroptera; Vespertilionidae.
GGCUUUGGCAGCACAUACUGUAUACUGAAACUGGAACAGUACAGAGGAGAUUAGCAUGGCCCUGUGGGAGGAUGACAUGCAAAUUCAUGAAGCAUUCCAUCUUUUU